UUGGAGGGCAAGUCUGGUGCCAGCAGCCGCGGUAAUUCCAGCUCCAAUAGCGUAUAUUAAAGUUGUUGCAGUUAAAAAGCUCGUAGUUGAAUUUCGGGGUCAAUAAGUUGGUCGUGCCAAUGGUAUGCACUGGCUUUAUUGAUUCCUACCUCUUGACGAACUGUGAUGCCAUUAAUUUGGUGUCGCAAGGAAUCAGGACUGUUACCUUGAAAAAAUUAGAGUGUUUAAAGCAGGCUUACGCUUGAAUACAUUAGCAUGGAAUAAUGAAAUAGGACGCUUGAACCUAUUUUGUUGGUUUCUAGGAUCGACGUAAUGAUUAAUAGGGAUAGUUGGGGGCAUUAGUAUUCAAUUGUCAGAGGUGAAAUUCUUGGAUUUAUUGAAGACUAACUACUGCGAAAGCAUUUGCCAAGGAUGUUUUCAUUAAUCAAGAACGAAAGUUAGGGGAUCGAAGACGAUCAGAUACCGUCGUAGUCUUAACCAUAAACUAUGCCGACUAGGGAUCGGAUGAUGUUAAUCUUUUAAUGACUCAUUCGGCGCCUUACGGGAAACCAAAGUGUUUGGGUUC
This 565-nucleotide ribosomal RNA is filed under the name uncultured Glomeromycotina. RNAcentral's name for it is "SSU rRNA". It matches the Rfam family "Eukaryotic small subunit ribosomal RNA", at positions 548 to 1114 of the family's 1831-position model. Lineage: Eukaryota; Fungi; Glomeromycota. The record is from RNAcentral.